AAGUGCGACCAAAGCCGACAGCGACUGGUGUCGAGGAAGAAGGGGGUCGUUUCAGGCUGUGACAUGGAAGCAGUUUUCUCGAGGAGGAGAGACGAGUUUUACAGACCGUUUGGUGACCGCGCCUCAGCUCUGCCCAGCGUUCACUCUACAAUUGCAGUGAGCACCUGUUAUGUGCAGCGAUCACAGAGAUGAGACCGACCAGAGCCUUACUGUCGAGGAACUGGACAAACAAGAACCCACAGAGGCCCCAGGCUGCUAAAAUACAUCCCAGAGGUCGACAAUCCAGGAGGUGCUUAGCAAAGGACAAGCCAGAGACACGCGGAGCUCAUCAGGCUCUGAGCGCCUGGCUUCCCAGAAAGGUGUCCAGGCUGCCACAGUCCCCCUGCCUAGAGGGCUUCGGGGGCACCGAGGACACGUGCCGACUGUACCAGGUGAGCCCCGGGGAGGCAGGAGGAGAGCCGCAGGAGGCACAGUGGUCCGCACCCCGUUUCUUCCCCGCUGCGCACAGACCGGCCUGCUGGUCCUGACUCGGAUGGGUAAGCAGGGGCCGCCCCGUGGACACCGGUGAGGGGCAGGGGAGCCCCUAGUGCAGGAGCACAGGGUCUGCCGGUUAUGCUUGGCCCAGGUCAGGAGGGAGAGGCACCCUUCUCGUGCGAGCUGGCACAUGGGCACAGAUGGCCCCUCACCGCUGCAGGUGGGCCGUGAGCCCAGAAACCCCGGUGGAGCCCAGCUCUGCGCGUUUCCCCGCAGACUUUCCUGUGGACCCGGUCUGUAGCCAGGCCUCCCCACCAGGCCCCUCUGCAGGCCGAGGAGGGUCCGGGGUGGAGGGGCAGGAGGCACCCCCUGCUUUGGAGAAGCUGAGAACAAGUCUCAGCGGGCAGCCUGCACCCUGUAAGCAGGAGGAGGGCAGACGAUUGUACCAUGUGCGGGGGAGCGGGGCCUUGCCCUUAAGGAAAAUGUGAUUUUAGAGGAGCAGACACUUCCUGAGCAUUCGUGUCUGAGGAACGAAGGCCAUGGGAGAAGAACAGGAGAGCUGGGGGUUUGAGAAAAGGUGUGGUGGCCUCUGACAGCAGGCUCCUGAAGGAAGGCUUCCUGGAGGAGGUGGCCUGGGAGCCCUGCAGGACGGGUGGAGGAGGACUUUCCUGUGGGAAUCUAGUCCCCAUGGCUGGAGAACCAGGAGGGUCCGAGGAGGGGGGCUGGAAUAGAGCACAAGGGCCCGUCCCAUUGAGGGCUAGGCUUGGGGGCGCCCUCCUGGAGCCUCCUCACCUCCCUCCUGCCUCCUGUCGGCCUCCCUGCAUCACCUCUCCUCCUCCAACAGCUUCCCGGACCAGCUCCCUGGCAGUUGGAAGGCUGGGCAGACUCCCACGCGGUCCAGUCCCCACGCGCCCCCUGCCUUCCCUGGGCCCUAGAGCA
Molecule: long non-coding RNA, 1413 nt
Filed under: Bos mutus (wild yak)
Lineage: Eukaryota; Metazoa; Chordata; Mammalia; Artiodactyla; Bovidae
Description: lncRNA (ENSBMUG00000016846.1)
Source: RNAcentral